RNAcentral lists this ribosomal RNA (500 nucleotides) under uncultured bacterium. RNAcentral describes it as "partial 16S ribosomal RNA". It matches the Rfam family "Bacterial small subunit ribosomal RNA", at positions 28 to 523 of the family's 1533-position model. The record is from RNAcentral.
GACGAACGCUGGCGGCAUGCCUUACACAUGCAAGUCGAACGGCAGCACGGGAGCAAUCCUGGUGGCGAGUGGCGAACGGGUGAGUAAUGUAUCGGAACGUGCCCAGUCGUGGGGGAUAACGUAGCGAAAGCUACGCUAAUACCGCAUACGAUCUAUGGAUGAAAGCGGGGGAUCGCAAGACCUCGCGCGAUUGGAGCGGCCGAUAUCAGAUUAGGUAGUUGGUGGGGUAAAGGCCCACCAAGCCUGCGAUCUGUAGCUGGUCUGAGAGGACGACCAGCCACACUGGAACUGAGACACGGUCCAGACUCCUACGGGAGGCAGCAGUGGGGAAUUUUGGACAAUGGGCGCAAGCCUGAUCCAGCAAUGCCGCGUGCAGGAUGAAGGCCUUCGGGUUGUAAACUGCUUUUGUACGGAACGAAACGGCUUUUUCUAAUACAGAGAGCUAAUGACGGUACCGUAAGAAUAAGCACCGGCUAACUACGUGCCAGCCGCCGCGGUAA